RNAcentral lists this ribosomal RNA (497 nucleotides) under uncultured bacterium. RNAcentral describes it as "partial 16S ribosomal RNA". It matches the Rfam family "Bacterial small subunit ribosomal RNA", at positions 28 to 507 of the family's 1533-position model. The record is from RNAcentral.
GAUGAACGCUGGCGGCGUGCCUAAUACAUGCAAGUCGAGCGAACGGACGAGAAGCUUGCUUCUCUGAUGUUAGCGGCGGACGGGUGAGUAACACGUGGCUAACCUACCUAUAAGACUGGGAUAACUUCGGGAAACCGGAGCUAAUACCGGAGAAUAUUUUGAACCGCAUGGUUCAAAAGUGAAAGACGGUCUUGCUGUCACUUAUAGCUGGAUCCGCGCUGCAUUAGCUAGUUGGUAAGGUAACGGCUUACCAAGGCAACGAUGCAUAGCCGACCUGAGAGGGUGAUCGGCCACCUGGGAACUGAGACACGGUCCAGACUCCUACGGGAGGCAGCAGUAGGGAAUCUUCCGCAAUGGGCGAAAGCCUGACGGAGCAACGCCGCGUGAGUGAUGAAGGUCUUAGGAUCGUAAAGCUCUGUUAUUAGGGAAGAACAUAUGUGUAAGUAGCUGUGCACAUCUUGACGGUACCUAAUCAGAAAGCCACGGCUAACUACGUG